AGAACGAACGCUGGCGGCAUGCCUAACACAUGCAAGUCGAACGCUUGCCGAGGCUUCGGUUUCGGCAGGAGUGGCGCACGGGUGAGUAGCGCGUGGGAACCUGCCUUGGAGUGGGGGACAACCGAGGGAAACUUCGGCUGAUACCGCAUACGCCGGUUGUCUUGCAAGAGACGGCCGGGAAAGAUUUAUCGCUCCGAGAGGGGCCCGCGUCGGAUUAGGUAGUUGGCGGGGUAACGGCCCACCAAGCCUGUGAUCCGUAGCUGGUCUGAGAGGAUGAUCAGCCACACUGGGACUGAGACACGGCCCAGACUCCUACGGGAGGCAGCAGUGGGGAAUAUUGGACAAUGGGCGCAAGCCUGAUCCAGCAAUGCCGCGUGAGUGAUGAAGGCCUUCGGGUUGUAAAGCUCUUUCGCCCGCGACGAUGAUGACGGUAGCGGGAGAAGAGCCCGGCUAACUUCGUGCCAGCAGCCGCGGU
Molecule: ribosomal RNA, 475 nt
Filed under: uncultured bacterium
Lineage: Bacteria
Description: SSU rRNA
Rfam family: Bacterial small subunit ribosomal RNA
Source: RNAcentral